This 517-nucleotide ribosomal RNA is filed under the name uncultured Flavobacterium sp. RNAcentral's name for it is "bacterial SSU rRNA". It matches the Rfam family "Bacterial small subunit ribosomal RNA", at positions 9 to 524 of the family's 1533-position model. Lineage: Bacteria; Pseudomonadati; Bacteroidota; Flavobacteriia; Flavobacteriales; Flavobacteriaceae. The record is from RNAcentral.
GAGUUUGAUCAUGGCUCAGGAUGAACGCUAGCGGCAGGCUUAACACAUGCAAGUCGAGGGGUAUAGGUUUUCGGACCUAGAGACCGGCGCACGGGUGCGUAACGCGUAUGCAAUCUACCUUUUACAGAGGGAUAGCCCAGAGAAAUUUGGAUUAAUACCUCAUAGUAUUGUUGAAUGGCAUCAUUUAAUAAUUAAAGUUCCGACGGUAAAAGAUGAGCAUGCGCGAUAUUAGCUAGUUGGUGAGGUAACGGCCCACCAAGGCGACGAUAUCUAGGGGUACUGAGAGGUUACACCCCCACACUGGUACUGAGACACGGACCAGACUCCUACGGGAGGCAGCAGUAAGGAAUAUUGGACAAUGGUCGCAAGACUGAUCCAGCCAUGCCGCGUGCAGGAUGACUGCCCUAUGGGUUGUAAACUGCUUUUGUACGGGAAUAAACCCGGGUACGUGUACCCGGCUGAAUGUACCGUAAGAAUAAGGGUCGGCUAACUUCGUGCCAGCAGCAGCCGCAGUAAC